CGAUUCCAGUUUUCAGUAGAGAAAGCAAAAGCAGUGAUAACUUGUAUUCCAAGUUUGGUAGAAACAUUACAAAUAUUCAUAAGAUUAGGAGUAAUAAAUUUGUAACCCUCUUGCACAGGUAAUCCUCUAGCUUUAGCCCAUCUUCUGUGCCCAUCCAUUAUUAUAGCGACGUGUUUAGGGGUAAAUUCUGGAUGAACUAAUUGAUCAUCAUGCCUCAAACUCUUGGAGAAAUGGCCAUACCUAAAUAUAUCUGAUGAUUUCGUCGAUAGAAGACGACGAUCCAAAUUACAUGAUACUGGGAAGAACUGGGCUUGGGGGAGUACUAACAAAGAACUCAUUUAAUUUUCACUAAUCUUUGUUUGUACAUGGGUGUUGGCGGGUACAGAUGCACCAAAUAAAUAGGCAUAUGAAGUGAGUUACACCCACUGUUUUCAAUUUAUACAACACAUUUUAAAAGAUAUAUUGUUAAUCUGUCUAAUAGAAAAUGUCAUAUUUUUAUAAUUGAAAACAAUUUUAUUUCAAAAUAUGUUUAUAAAGUUAGAUUGCAUUAAAAUUAACAACACAAUUCUUUUAUGUUUCAUUAUAGAACGACUUUAAUUAAUUAGAGAAUAAUAAUUGAUCUAUGACUAUUUUACUAUACUAAUCAUAUUAAUUAAUGUUUAAUAUUUGGUCUUGAAAAAUAAGUAACUAAUACGAAAAAAUAAAUUUAAAGGAUAUAAAAGCCGAUUGAUCAAUAUUUAAAAGAUAUUUUGAUCAAAUACUUUUGGCACUCUUAAAUAAAUAAUUAGACUAGUAUAAUUUAGUAAAUAGUUAAUUGACAAGUCAUUUGGUUCGAUAAUCCAAUUCUUUUAAGAGCCACUAUACCACGUACACUUGCGUGUGCAAUUGGAGCAACACACAGAGUAUCACAGUGAGAAAUAUCCUCUUCCUUUUUGCUUGUUGAAUCUUUACUACCAUUAACCAAGGAAGGGAGGAAAAAAUUCUGUCCAUCAUCAAUUACAAUAGGGAGGAAAAUCUAGAAUUUUUAUCAUUUUCCAUGUUUCCACUGCUUGUUUUAUAUUUUUCCAUUUUGGCUAAAAUAUUCCAUUUCCUGCUGAGACAUAAUUUUUUUUGCUUCCCUACUAAACUACAUGAAAGUUAUAAAAAAAACCCAGCAAUGCUGGUGUUUAUGCCAAAUCUUCAUAUGUAUAACUAGCAUUGCUAUCCCUUUUCCUUUGUAAGUUAGCCAUAAUCCUGAUUUAUGGGAACCAAUAUGGAAAUGUUCAAAGCCUUUUUAAAAUGAAUCAAACUAUGAACAAUUGAAGAUAGUAAAUAUGCUCGUACUUUUUUCUUAUCUCAUGUGGUAGUGUAAAUAAGUGCUACUUUGGAAUCAUGGAAAGGAAGGAUUGCAUAAAGAUAAAUUGCAUAUUUGUGUUUUCAUUGGAUCAUUUUGGUUAGUGAUUGCAUUGAGGACAUAUUGCAAUAAGCUCCAGACUUCACUUAUUUUUCUAAAAUAUAUUUCUUAGAAAACAUUUUUCAUAAAACACAUUUUCCUUCAUACCAAACCCAUCAUACGUCAGAUUGAAAUGAAAGGUUCUAAGUGAAAGAGAAAUGAAUAUGACCGACCAUGUGCUUCUUUUUUUGACAACUCAACAAGAUAUUUUAUUUUAUUUUUUAUAACCGAAAAAUCCGUUUGUGACCCGUCCUUUGGACCAAUCACAACCUUCUAAACUCGGUGGAUAAUGGGUCCACCCCUCUACCUUUCUCCACUUAAAUACCAGGCUUCGCUUUGCAUGGUGUGGGGUUUGAACUUGUGACCUAAGCCACAAAUCCUCCACCUUUUGCCACUUGAGCUAGGCCUUGGGGGCUGAAAGGUUCUAAGUGAAAGAGAAAUGAAUAUGACCAUGUGCUUCAAUUUUUGACAACUCAACAAGAUAUAUAUUUUUUUUAUAACCGAGAAAUCCGUCUGUGACCUGCCCUUUGGACCAAUCACAGCCGUCUAAACUCGGUGGAUAAUGGGUCCACCCCUCUACCCCUCUCCACUUAAAUAUCAGGCUUCGCUUUGCAUGGUGUGGGGUUUGAACUUGUGACCUAAGCCACAAAUCCUCCACCUAUUGCCACUUGAGCUAGGCCUUGGGGCCUGAAAGGUUCUAAGUGAAAGAGAAAUGAAUAUGACCANNNNNNNNNNNNNNNNNNNNNNNNNNNNNNNNNNNNNNNNNNNNNNNNNNNNNNNNUUUUUUUUUGAUAACCGAGAAAUCCGUCUGUGACUCACCCUUUGGACCAAUCACAGCCUUCUAAACUCGGUGGAUAAUGGGCCCACCCCUCUACCCUUCUCCACUUAAAUACCGGGCUUCGUUUUGCAUGGUAUGGGAUUGAACCUGCGACCUAAGCAACAAAUCCUCCACCUUUUGCCACUUGAGCUAGGCCUUGGGGGCUAAAAGGUUCUAAGUGAAAGAGAAAUGAAUAUGACCACGUGUUUCAAUUUUUGACAACUCAACAAGAUAUAUUUGUUUUUUAGAACCGAGAAAUUCAUCUGUGACCCGCCCUUUGGACCAAUCACAGCCUUCUAAACUCAGUGGAUAAUGGGGCCACCCCUCUACCCUUGUCCACUUAAAUACCGGGCUUCGCUUUGCAUGGUGUGGGGCAUGAACCUGCGACCUAACCCACGAAUCCUCUACCUUUUGACACAUGAGCUAGGCCUUGGGGGCUGAAAGGUUCUAAGUGAAAGAGAAAUGAAUAUGACCACGUGCUUCAAUUUAUGACAACUCAACAAGUUUUAUUUUUUUUUGAUAACAGAGAAAUCCGUCUGUGACCCGCCCUUUGAAUCAAUCACAGCCUUCUAAACUCAGUGGAUAAUGGGCCCACCCCUUNNNNNNNNNNNNNNNNNNNNNNNNNNNNNNNNNNNNNNNNNNNNNNNNNNNNNNNNNNNNNNNNNNNNNNNNNNNNNNNNNNNNNNNNNNNNNNNNNNNNNNNNNNNCACAAAUCCUCCACUUUUUGCCACUUGAGCUAGGCCUUAAUUGGGGGUUGAAAGGUUCAAAGUGAAAGAGAAAUGAAUAUGACCAUGUGCUUCAAUUUUUAACAACUCAAGAAGAUAUAUAUUUUUUUUUUAUAACCGAGAAAUUCAUUUGUGACCCGCCUUUUGGACCAAUCACAGCCUUCUAAACUCGGUGGAUAAUGGGGCCACCCCUCUACCCUUGUCCACUUAAAUACCGGGCUUCGCUUUGCAUGGUGUGGGGCAUGAACCUGCGACCUAAGCGACAAAUCCUCCACCUUUUGCUACUUGAGCUAGGCCUUGGGGGAUGAAAGGUUCUAAGUGAAGGAGAAAUGAAUAUGACCAUGUGCUUCAAUUUUUGACAACUCAACAAGAUAUUUUAGAUGUCCUUAAUUUGUUGCAUUAUCUUUAACUUUAGUUGGAUCCACGAAAUAAAAAUUUAAAACCACACAUUCGUAUAUUCUCUAAUAUCACACAUAAAUAACCUCAAUUGAUAUUAUUAUUUAUUAUUUAAAUAAAUUAAUAAUAAUUUCAAUACAUGGCGUUUAGGUGUGAUAAGAGACUAAACAAAUGUGUAUGUGCAGAAACUCAACUAGAAUUUAGAACUUUUUUAGUUCAAACUAACCAUCAAACUUAUAAUCAUACAUAUAUUUAAUAAAUAUCUUAAUACAAAUACAUAAUAAAAAUUAAAAUUAUUGAGUUCGUCUAAAUUUUAAGAGCCAUAUUUGUCAAUAUGUUUAACGUAUACAAUUCUAUAAUCUUAGUACAAUGCAUUUAAAUCUGACGAUUAUGGGACAACUCUUUUAGAAUGUUUUAAACUAAAAGAGGAGCAAAUGAGAGAGAAUUUUUUUUUAAUUACAACCGCUUUAUAGAAAUUCUAAAUAGUUGUCAAAACUCAAACCUAUAAAGUUACGAACUUCAUAAUAUUAACCUUACAAGAUUAAUGAGUUUUCUCAAACCUACUAAAAAUGUGGCAUAAUUAAAAUUCACAGAAAAUACGAGAACACAAAGCAACAGAAGAUAUAAGAGGCCGACAUUUUAUUAACCACUCAAGAGUUUGAAGUGCCUGUCGACAUGUUUUUCGGACACUUUUGAGUGUUGCUAAAUGACCACAAUUAUGUUGCCCAAAAAUGACCACAAAUAUAAAAGGGAAAAAAACACUUUUGGUAGACGGUGAGGUUUUAUUGAUAAAUCAUGAAAACAUUUAAAUUUAUAAUAUGUUGAUCAAGUCGAAUUGUUGAUUAAUAUUUUAAGUCAAAAAUAUAUAAUUUAAAUAAAGUUCAAAUUAUAUUUGGGCAAGUCUAUUAAGUUGACAAGACGAGCCCAACUCACAAUCUUCAAGCCCAAGGUCCUCUAAAUUACUUGGACCAAAAUACCCUAAAACCCGCUAGCUCACUCCUAUAUAAAGGGGUCUUCAUAAGAUCAGAACACACAAACAAAAAUACAUAGAUAAUCAAUGCGCUUCAAUGAUGAUCCACAAGUCUUUCGCAUACAAUGAAGUCUUUGCUCCAAGUGAUGAGCCGCAAGUAUUUCAUCAAGUCAAGAACAAUUGUGAAGAGAAGAAUCAGCGGAUUACAUAUCUUUUCUUAAAGAUUUCAUAAAGAUUGUAACAUUCGCACAAAUUCAAAUUCAAAUAUUAUUGUUUGGUUGCUAUUUUCCUUUCUUGUUUGUUGUAUUUUAGGAUAACACCAAAACCUGGUUAUCACAUGUUCAAGGCGCCAAUGUAUUAAUGCAGAAUUGAAAGAUAAGUACAAGUCUCAAUGUCGUCUUUGUAUCUCGAAUAGAACAAAACAUAAUGUAAGGAACAAGAGGGCCCGCCGAAAAGACAAGCAGUUACCUCUCAAUGUAUCCUCAGCCUCGGAAAUAGAUGAAAGAGAAAUGUCACACGAAUCUGGACUCGAAACCUACAUAGUGUAGUAGCUAGGAGUGAGUACCAAAACAACACGGUACUCAACAAAUAAACCACUAAAAUAAGGUAAAACUAGCUAGAAAACGAAAAACUCCUUUCAGCCCAACCAAACCCCCAAAACUACAACCUGCAUAUAUAAAAGCAGCACAGCCUAACAAUUCACAGUAAAUAGCUCACAAGGUUCCAUAGUCUCACAUCAAUAGUUACACAUCGUCAAAUCACAAGUAUCAAGUCAUCAAUCAUAAGAAAUAAGAUUAUCGAGUACAACAAUCAAGUAUACCAAAUACAAGUAUCAAGAUUAUCAUGCACAAUUUACAAUCGGGACUCAUGGGGACUACUCAUAACCAAGGUACUUAUCGGCAAUGACCUCGGCAUCACAAUACUCACCGGCAAUGACACUGGCAUCAAUAACACUCAUCGAAAAUAACCUCGAUAUCAAUAACACUCGUCGGUAAUGACCUCGACAUCAAUAAUACUCCUUGGCAAUGACCUCAACAUCAAUAACAUUCGCGGGAAAUACCCAACAUCAAUCACAAUAACAUCUCACAGUGUUCUAGAACUAAUGCAAAUAGUCUUGUUCACGCAAUAAUGAAGAGAUGGCAAUUUCAAGCAAUUCACAUCCACACAAUACUAUCAAGUAUCACAUCAAUCAGCGAAUCAAUAUCAAUACUCAAGACAAUUCACAAUGCAAACACCAUUAUCAACAUGUUGUCUUUUUUUCAUUAACCCCACCUUUAUCAUUAUGGUUAUUCAAUUUGAGCAAUUUAACCCAUCACCUUAUUUUUAUUACUCCCAACACAUAUAAGAAAAAGAGUUCAAAAUUCCACAAGUCUUAAUAAGAUUUAGAAGUUCACUAGCCUCAAUUCAAUUAAAAGUCAAUUCAAGACUUGAGCCUUUCCUUUCCGAACAAUAUCCAAAGUCACAAAAUUUAAUUCAAUCAAGUAAUCACAAUAAGAUUUCGGAAAUAACAACACCCAUAGCAUACACUUUGAAAAAUGGGUCAAGUCAGCUAAAAAUUCAAUUCCAAAAAUGAGGUUUGAACCCAAAAUCUUUACUUGAAAAUGUCGCCCAAGGCAUUUGAAACUCAUUGGUGAAAAUCAUUCCAAAAAAGGAAUUAAAAUCAGUUCAAAAUCACCAUUUAAUUUUACUUUACAACUCAAGUUCUUGAAAAACAUUGCCAUUUGCCAAUCAAAAUCUCAAAUUUUGGUGUUAAAAUCCAUGAAUGACAUGAUGGAAUUGAAAUUUUAGGGUCACAAAAGCUUACCCAAAUGAUUAGCACAAGAGAUCUCUUCAAAAUUACCUCCAAGGAUUUUUCAUAACUCAAAAUGGAAAAAAAUGGGGGUAAAACCCCAUAAUGGCACAUAAAAAACCCUUUUUUAAGUCGCUUAAGCAAACCCUGAGAAAUACUCGACCCUCGCUUUCGCAGACUGGCCUUCACUUUCGCGAACUGGCAUUCGCUAAUGCAAAGAUCGCGAUCGUGAACAAGCCUUCGCUUCUGCGAAGGUCUGACUUGAUCCUUUGCAAAAGCGAACCGGUCUUCGCUAAUGUGACCCUCACAAAAGCGAAGACCCUUCGCAAUCGCGAGGUAGCAAACAACAGAAUAAACAACUAACUUUCAAAUCAUCAAAUGGACUUUCGGGAUUCGUUCGAAACCCCUACACACGAACCAUUUAUGAAAUUUGACUCUACUCGAUGCUCCGAACUCAAUGGAACCAUCAAAACACGAAUUUGAGGUCUCCUUGACCUAAAACUCGCGAAAGUCACAAGAAACGAACAUGACGCCUAAAAAGGCUAAAUCAAGCUCGGGACCUCCAAAAAUUCAACCAAGACCUCCUCUAAGUCUAAAAUCAUCCUCUGAAUCAAAUAGAACUCUCGAAAUUCCAAUUUGAGUAUCCGAACCCCGAAUGUUGACCAAAGUCAAUCCAAAUACUAAAAUUUCACAUUUUCCAACUUAGGACCGCAAAUCCUCAAAAAGACUCCGAAUUUGCAACCGAUGACUCUUUGACUCUAAUUUCCAUAUUUCGAGACUGAUGGAAUCGACAAAAUUUCAUUUCGAUACUCGAAUCUCUAAAAGACACCGGAACCACUUUUUAACAACUUAGCCAUUUGAAUUUUAAAAAAAUUAUAAUUCACAACUUUUUACUCAAGCUCAAAAUCAAUUUCAAAAUUCUAUCAGAAAUGAAUUGGGAUUAAUAUCAAGAGGGAUAAAACGCUUUACGAAAAUUUUGAAAAAUGACCAUCCGAAUCAUUACAAUUAUUAAAUUUAUAGUUAGAUAUUUAUACAUAUUUAAUAGGUGUUCUAAUACAAAUACUCCCUCCGUCCCCAUAUUAUAAGUCACCUUUUUCAUUUGCACUUGCAUUAAGAAAUAAGGUAAUUUUACCGUUAUGCCCUUAUUUAAUGUUUGCUUAUGACAACUUUGUAAUAAAUGAUGAAAUGUUAAAUUUAAAAAAUAUAAAUAGCAUUUGGAUGACUAUUUAAAUUUUACUUUUUGGAGCCAAAAUUUUUUUCACCAAUUGAUCCAAAAAUUUAAAAAACAAAGUUUUUUCCACCUCAAUUUUCCUAUAUAUUUUGUGUAAAAUGUUUUUUAUAGUUUUAUAUAUAAAUUCUUAAAGCAAACAUGACAACAUCACAAAAUAUUCAAAUUCCAUUACUUCAAAUUGAUCUAAACUUUCCUGCUGAAUCUGAUGUUAUUGAUAAUGAAAUUAGACGACAAAUGAAUUUUAGUUCUAGUUCGACAAAUCAUUUGUUUUUUUAUUUAAACACAGAGGCGCAUGUUGAAGAAGAUUUGAAUACAAAUAUUGGUUUGUUGUUUUGUUUAAAAUUUUGGUUCAUAUUUUAAUUGUUUUAUUUAUAUUUUUAUGCUUAAUUCAUUUUUACAGUACCAUUUGAAGGGCUGCAAACUGCAGCAGAAGAAGAUAUAUUAUCGGAAGAGUCAAAUACAAAUAUUGGUCUGUUGAAAUUUCUGUUAUUUUUUUAUUUCACAUUUCAUUAAUUCCUGUUUAACUACAUUAGAGAUGAUUCAUUUAGUUGUAACCUCCAUUUUAUCUUUUGUGUUCAUAAUUUUUUUUCUUUUUCAAUAAAUAACAGAUGAAAACUUAAAUGAUGACAACGUAAACGAAGAGUCAUCAGGAUCAGCAAUGACAAGAAAAUUAUUAAAUAAUGAUGAGCGGAGAGCAUUAUAUGAAAUGCUACUCAGAAAGAGUAUCAAUGGAAAAUUGUAAAAAACUGAUCAGCGUGUGAUUAGAAAAUUAUUAAAGAAUAUUUUUCAUCUUUUAUUUUAAUUGUUUGUUGAUAUUUUUUUUAAAACAAGAUUUUAUAGAAUAAGUAGUGAAUAAAGAAAGUAGUUAAUUAAUGAAUGAAGUACUCUCCCAAUGAAAUUAAUUACUUGUAAAUUUCCUAGGUUAGUCAAAGUAAAUAUUUUUCAAGAUUAAUUAAUUAAUCAAUCAAGGGUAUAAUGGGUAAAAUAUGGUAAUUUAUGCAUAAAUUUUAUAAAAUGACAUAUAUUAUGGUCCAACUAUUUUUAGAAAGGGGUGACUUAUAAUAUAGGACAGAGAGAGUACAAAAUAAAAAUUAUUGAAUCCGUCCAAAUUUUAACUAAUACUCUCUUUUCGCCCUUGUAUAUAUGGCAUAUUUGUAUGGCCGCCGAUAGAGCUAUCUUUGUCAAUGUGUCUAACGUUCUUCAUAAUCUUAGUACAGUACUAUUUAUUAGAUGUGAGGCGUAUGGGGACAAUCUCCAUGUGAACCAUAUAAAGAAAAGACAUAAUAUCAUACACUUGUGAGGUAAUUAGAUGCUUUGAAGGGAACCGUGGCUAGAAUUUUUACUAUUAUAGAAGAGUGACUUUAAUUUUGGAAUCAACAUGUGUGCUUUGUCAUUUCAUGAUUGGUUGUUUUUUUUUUUUUUGUUUAUUCCAUAUUGCAUAAUAUUAAGAGAUCCACAAAAUUAUCUAUGCACAAUUAUUAAUGAAUCUAUUCCUUUGUACUAUUUGUUCAUAUUUUUAUUUACAAAGUUUUAAAAAAAAUCAUAAACAAAAAGAGCACUUUACUAAUUUACCUUUUAAUUCUUUUUAAUAUUUUUUCGUUUACUUUUUACUUAUCACAUUUGAACUUGACAUAUUCAUUAAAAAAACAAUGAUUGACAUGAUUAUUGAAGAGUAUUUUUACUAAUUUACCUUUCAAUUAUUUUUAAUACUUUUUUUCGUUUACUUUUUACUUAUCACAUUUGAACUUGACGUAUCCAUUAAGAAAACAAUGAUUGACAUGACUAUUUUACCACAUUAACCCUAAUAAGUAGUAAUAAUUGAUGUUAGUAUUGUUGGAUAUUUUGUAAUAUAUAAAAGUCUUAAAUUAAACAAAUUGUUCAUGAAAGAACAUGAUUCUUAUAAAAAGACAUUUGAUCAUGAAAGAACAUGACUCUUAUGAAAAGUCAUACGUUCAUGAUAGAACAUAACUCUUAUGAAAAGUCAUCUCUUAAGUUCUAUAAAUAUAAAGACUCUCUAUAGGUUGUCUAAGAAAAAUUUGCAUGUAUAAAUAAAAGAUUUUGUAUUUGUUUGUAUUUUUCCAAUAUGUAUACGGGCAAUAUCUCUUUAAAGAAAGUGAUUUUACACGCCUCAAAGCCAUCUUCUUCGUCAAUUAUAUUUCCUAUUAUUUUUUCUAACAAGUAUUAAGUCUUGGAAACUAAUUUAGAAAAAAAGUAAUUAAUGUUAAGGAUAAACCGCUACUGAAAUUUGAACCCUUUAUUUUAUGGUAGAUGGAACACUUAAUGGAAACUAUAAUAAUUCAUAUUCGAAUCAAAUGAAUUCAAUUUAAUAAAUAUUAUUUAAAUUAAUUGAAUUAUAAUUAUCUUUAUUUACAUAAGGCCCGUGCUUAUAAAUUCAACUUUUAGUUUUAAAUUUUUAAAGUGACAAUUCAUGACCAUCUUUAAACACAAACAAAAGUUCAAAUGACCAUAAAUGCAUAAUUAUAUGGCUCAAAAGAUGACCAUAAAUAUAAAAAGGAAAAAUUAUAUAAUUACACGAUUUAAAAUAAUAUAAUUUUAAAAAAUUUCUAUUAUUUAAAUUAAUUGCAAGAAAUUUCUCUUUCCUUCUUUCUCUCUUAACAUCCGAAUACAUCACUCCAUCUCUAUCAGAUACAUUAUAACUUUGUUUGUGUACAUUGUAUCUGGUAUAAUUAAUGUUAUUGUUAAUAUAUAACCCCAAUUAUUUCAAACCUAAAUCAAUAUGAAUCUGUUUUAUAGUUAUGUUAUCUGAUAAUAUAUAACUUAUGUAUCGUUAAAAAAAAUCUUAUGUGUCGUUUUUUGUUAUGUACCGAGCGAAGGAUCAAUGUAUCCGCGAGUUAUGAAAAAUUUGAGAUUAUUUUAAUUUUGAAAAUUUUCGAGAUAAAAUGUAAUUAACGCACAAAAUGUUGCGGUUUCCGUACUUUAUACAUAUAAAAAAAAAACUAUGCUAACUUUUUUUCUCUAAAGCCAAAAUUUUUACUUCACUAUUUUCUCUGAUCAUCUUUAUUUGUGGCUAUUUUAGAAAUAGAUUUUUAUUUUUAUUUGUCACUUUUAACACAUCAAGAUUAAAUAAUUUAUUUUUCAUAUAUUUUACCUUUAAUAUUAAUGACUUAUUUCUCAAAAAAUAAUCACCACGUAAUACUAUAAUAUUAAUUAAUAAAGAUAGUGUGGUAAAAUAGUUAUAUCAAUUAUUACUUUUUAAUAGAUAUGUUAAACUCAACUAUGACAAGUAAAAAUGGAUUGAAGGAAUAUGAUUUCUUCUGUUUUUGGCUGAACACUUUGCCUUUUUAUUUUUUUAGUAUUCAUAGAAAUACAUGUGGCUAAAAGAUAGUUACAAGCUUUAGAUGGUAUGCGACUUAUAUUAAAACAAAAUAUUUACUGCUACAAAAUAGUGGAUAAUUAAAGGUGAUUAUGUCCAAAAGGAUGUGCAAAUAUGGGCAAUUCUCUAGCCUAUUGCUACAAAAUAGUGGAUAAUUAAAGGUCAUUUUGAAAAUCUUACACUUCAGUUUGAUAAACUUAGGUUGAAGUCUUAUAAGUCUGUGUCUAUGCUGAAAGGAAAGUAUGGCCUCCUUGAUAACUUGUAUUCCAAGUUUGGUAGAAACAUUACAAAUAUUCUUAAGAUUAGGAGUAAGAAAUUUGUGACCCUCUUGCACAGGUAAUCCUCUAGCUUUAGCCCAUCUUCUGUUCCCAUCCAUUAUUAUAGCGACGUGUUUAGGGGUAAAUUCUGGAUGAACAGAUUGAUCAUCAUGCCUCAAACUCUUGGAGAAAUGAAGACGACGAUCCAAAUUAUAUGAUACUGGGAAGAACUGGGCUUGGGGGAGUACUAACAAAGAACUCAUUUAAUUUUCACUAAUCUUUGUUUGUUCAUGGGUGUUAGCGGGUACA
RNAcentral lists this long non-coding RNA (11260 nucleotides) under Solanum tuberosum (potato). Its description in RNAcentral is "long non-coding RNA (STUB_LNC006605)". Lineage: Eukaryota; Viridiplantae; Streptophyta; Magnoliopsida; Solanales; Solanaceae. The record is from RNAcentral.